GAGGGUAGAGCUCAGUGGCAGAGCACAUGCUCAGCAUGCAUGAGGUCCUGGGUUCAGUCCCCAGUGCCUCCA
Molecule: transfer RNA, 72 nt
Filed under: Camelus bactrianus (Bactrian camel)
Lineage: Eukaryota; Metazoa; Chordata; Mammalia; Artiodactyla; Camelidae
Also listed under: 2 other names
Rfam family: tRNA
About the family: Transfer RNA (tRNA) molecules are approximately 80 nucleotides in length.
Source: Rfam by way of RNAcentral